UGUUGGUUCUCCCGCAACACUACUCUGUUUACCAGGUCAGAUCCGGAAGGAAGCAGCCAAAGCGGAUGACGUGUGUGCCGGGAUGUAGCUGGCAGGG
This 97-nucleotide signal recognition particle RNA is filed under the name Lelliottia amnigena. Its description in RNAcentral is "signal recognition particle sRNA small type". It matches the Rfam family "Bacterial small signal recognition particle RNA". From Rfam's summary of the family: The signal recognition particle (SRP) is a universally conserved ribonucleoprotein involved in the co-translational targeting of proteins to membranes. Archaeal SRP consists of a 7S RNA and homologues of the eukaryotic SRP19 and SRP54 proteins. Lineage: Bacteria; Pseudomonadati; Pseudomonadota; Gammaproteobacteria; Enterobacterales; Enterobacteriaceae. RNAcentral also lists the same sequence under 9 other names. The record is from RNAcentral.